UCUUGUCUUGUUUACUGAUGAAUGAGAGUUCUUUUGUGUGUGUUUGUUGAUUAUCCCUCUUAGUCUCAGACUAGGGAUGUCCAAUACUUAAGAUGCUAUGUGGCGUUUUUGUAUCCAAAAAAUGAGUCAGGAUUAUAAAAACUCACUGGCCAUAUUUUCAAAACUGAUUUUUUAGCAAGUAAUAGGAGUAACUCUUUAUCUGUUAUUUGGUCUGGACCUUUAGAGAAGCUCUUAUUCUCUUGAACUUAAGAAGGUGAAGAAUGAGAAGUUCAUAGAAUUCCUAUCUGUGCUGGAGGCUGGGUGAAGCAUAAGAGGCUUUUCCCUCACAGACAUAAUUUCUGUGGUCAGCCAGCAGAAGAGAACACCAGGAAGGCCAGUAUUGUUGGAGAGCCAGGCUUUGGAGUGUCACAAUCUAUCCCUCUGUGACACCACCCUCCACCAUUCAGUGAUGCACAAGUAUCUUGAUUUGAAAAGAUCUGUCUGCUAAGGAAGAAGAUGGGAUAUGUACCUUGAUAAUAGCAAGUUAGCAAAAAGAUGGAAAAAGCAGCUUUUACCUAAAAAUGUUUUGGGUUUGUUGGAAAGAGGUGCAUUCCUCCAAGGACAGGCAGCUUCAAUCUGGAGGCAGGGGCCCCUUCUUUCCUGUCUUCCACUGGAUCACAGCCUCCUCCAGCAGUGGCCCCAUGAUUACACGAAAGAUGCUCGGCUUCAAAUCAGUUGAAGAAGACUCAACCACUGGUCAUCCUGUUGACAUGAGGAGACCUUGCUGUGAGCACGAAAAAGACAUGACCUAUCAAAAAAGCACUAGCUUCUUUCUUCUGCUAUGGAAAAAUUGCUUUGCCACUUAGGUCAGCAUCAUGAUGCAAAUCUUAAGAUUAUGAGAUAUCUGAGUAAAUAAAGGCAUUUGGACUUUAA
Passer domesticus (house sparrow) is the source of this 912-nucleotide long non-coding RNA. RefSeq lists it as uncharacterized. The transcript is spliced from 4 exons. The record is from RefSeq and is a predicted model, not a curated record. NCBI's taxonomy places the organism in Eukaryota, Metazoa, Chordata, Aves, Passeriformes, Passeridae.